RNAcentral lists this ribosomal RNA (852 nucleotides) under uncultured bacterium. RNAcentral describes it as "bacterial SSU rRNA". It matches the Rfam family "Bacterial small subunit ribosomal RNA", at positions 8 to 857 of the family's 1533-position model. The record is from RNAcentral.
AGAGUUUGAUCCUGGCUCAGAUUGAACGCUGGCGGCAGGCCUAACACAUGCAAGUCGAGCGGAUGAAGGGAGCUUGCUCCCUGAUUCAGCGGCGGACGGGUGAGUAAUGCCUAGGAAUCUGCCUGGUAGUGGGGAACAACGUCUCGAAAGGGACGCUAAUACCGCAUACGUCCUACGGGAGAAAGCAGGGGACCUUCGGGCCUUGCGCUAUCAGAUGAGCCUAGGUCGGAUUAGCUAGUUGGUGAGGUAAUGGCUCACCAAGGCGACGAUCCGUAACUGGUCUGAGAGGAUGAUCAGUCACACUGGAACUGAGACACGGUCCAGACUCCUACGGGAGGCAGCAGUGGGGAAUAUUGGACAAUGGGCGAAAGCCUGAUCCAGCCAUGCCGCGUGUGUGAAGAAGGUCUUCGGAUUGUAAAGCACUUUAAGUUGGGAGGAAGGGCAGUAAGUUAAUACCUUGCUGUUUUGACGUUACCGACAGAAUAAGCACCGGCUAACUUCGUGCCAGCAGCCGCGGUAAUACGAAGGGUGCAAGCGUUAAUCGGAAUUACUGGGCGUAAAGCGCGCGUAGGUGGUUUGUUAAGUUGGAAGUGAAAGCCCCGGGCUCAACCUGGGGACUGCUUUCAAAACUGGCAAGCUAGAGUAUGGCAGAGGGUGGUGGAAUUUCCUGUGUAGCGGUGAAAUGCGUAGAUAUAGGAAGGAACACCAGUGGCGAAGGGACCACCUGGGCUAAUACUGACACUGAGUGCGAAAGCGUGGGGAGCAAACAGGAUUAGAUACCCUGGUAGUCCCCGCCGUAAACGAUGUCGACUAGCCGUUGGGAUCCUUGAGAUCUUAGUGGCGCAGCUAACG